GCCGCCGUGGCUCAGCCCGGCAGAGCGACUGGCUGUUAACCAGUUGGUCAUAGGUUCGAAUCCUAUCGGCGGCGCCA
This 77-nucleotide transfer RNA is filed under the name Candidatus Bathyarchaeota archaeon. RNAcentral's name for it is "tRNA-Asn". It matches the Rfam family "tRNA". Rfam says of the family: Transfer RNA (tRNA) molecules are approximately 80 nucleotides in length. Their secondary structure includes four short double-helical elements and three loops (D, anti-codon, and T loops). Further hydrogen bonds mediate the characteristic L-shaped molecular structure. tRNAs have two regions of fundamental functional importance: the anti-codon, which is responsible for specific mRNA codon recognition, and the 3' end, to which the tRNAs corresponding amino acid is attached (by aminoacyl-tRNA synthetases). tRNAs cope with the degeneracy of the genetic code in two manners: having more than one tRNA (with a specific anti-codon) for a particular amino acid; and 'wobble' base-pairing, i.e. permitting non-standard base-pairing at the 3rd anti-codon position. Lineage: Archaea; Thermoproteati; Candidatus Bathyarchaeota. The record is from RNAcentral.